UGCAGUCGAGCGCAUAGAAGGGAGCUUGCUCCCUGAAGUGAGCGGCGGAUGGGUGAGUAACACGUGGGUAACCUGCCUGUCAGAUCGGGAUAACUGUGGGAAACCGCAGCUAAUACCGGAUAAUCCUUCGCACCGCAUGGUGCGGAGUUGAAAGAUGGUUUCGGCCAUCACUGACAGAUGGGCCCGCGGUGCAUUAGUUAGUUGGCGGGGUAACGGCCCACCAAGACUGCGAUGCAUAGCCGACCUGAGAGGGUGAUCGGCCACAUUGGGACUGAGACACGGCCCAAACUCCUACGGGAGGCAGCAGUAGGGAAUCUUCCACAAUGGACGAAAGUCUGAUGGAGCAACGCCGCGUGAGCGAAGAAGGUUUUCGGAUCGUAAAGCUCUGUUGCUGGAGAAGAACGAGUGCGAGAGGAAAUGCUCGUACUGUGACGGUAUCCAGCCAGAAAGCCACGGCUAACUACGUGCCAGCAGCCGCGGUAAUACGUAGGUGGCAAGCGUUGUCCGGAAUUAUUGGGCGUAAAGCGCGCGCAGGCGGCUUCUUAAGUCUGAUGUGAAAUCUUGCGGCUCAACCGCAAACGGUCAUUGGAAACUGGGAAGCUUGAGUGCAGAAGAGGAGAGUAGAAUUCCACGUGUAGCGGUGAAAUGCGUAGAUAUGUGGAGGAAUACCAGUGGCGAAGGCGGCUCUCUGGUCUGUAACUGACGCUGAGGCGCGAAAGCGUGGGGAGCAAACAGGAUUAGAUACCCUGGUAGUCCACGCCGUAAACGAUGAAUGCUAGGUGUUAGGGGG
This 790-nucleotide ribosomal RNA is filed under the name Sporolactobacillus laevolacticus. RNAcentral describes it as "bacterial SSU rRNA". It matches the Rfam family "Bacterial small subunit ribosomal RNA", at positions 56 to 830 of the family's 1533-position model. Lineage: Bacteria; Bacillati; Bacillota; Bacilli; Caryophanales; Sporolactobacillaceae. The record is from RNAcentral.